This is a long non-coding RNA of Bombina bombina (fire-bellied toad), 252 nucleotides long. RefSeq lists it as uncharacterized. The transcript has 3 exons. The record is from RefSeq and is a predicted model, not a curated record. NCBI's taxonomy places the organism in Eukaryota, Metazoa, Chordata, Amphibia, Anura, Bombinatoridae.
UUUCAGCUGUAUUGGAGACCAUCUCGCUAAAACUUAACAAAGGCCAUCAUGUCUGGAGUAAAGGGACAGCAAAAGAAAUGCCCUGAGCCUUGCCCACCAAGCCAUGCCCUCCACCACCACAGCAGUGCCAGGAUCCUUGCAAACAAGAGCCAAAGUGUCCUGAACCUGUUCAAAAAUGCCCUCCUCCUCAAGAACAAUGCAAACCCCAGUGCCCACAAGACCAGCAGAAAUGAGCAGAAAAUGGACCUUAAC